ACGGGGGGUGCAAGCGUUAUUCGGAAUCACUGGGCGUAAAGGGCGCGCAGGCGGUUUGGUUAGUCAGAUGUGAAAGCCCGGGGCUCAACCCCGGAAGUGCAUUUGAUACUGCCAAACUUGAGUAUGGGAGAGGGAAGUGGAAUUCCUGGUGUAGAGGUGAAAUUCGUAGAUAUCAGGAGGAACACCGGUGGCGAAGGCGACUUCCUGGACCAAUACUGACGCUGAGGCGCGAAGGCGUGGGGAGCAAACAGG
Molecule: ribosomal RNA, 252 nt
Filed under: uncultured bacterium
Lineage: Bacteria
Description: partial 16S ribosomal RNA
Rfam family: Bacterial small subunit ribosomal RNA
Source: RNAcentral